This 292-nucleotide ribosomal RNA is filed under the name uncultured bacterium. Its description in RNAcentral is "partial 16S ribosomal RNA". It matches the Rfam family "Bacterial small subunit ribosomal RNA", at positions 505 to 796 of the family's 1533-position model. The record is from RNAcentral.
GUGUCAGCAGCCGCGGUAAGACGAACCGUGCGAACGUUGUUCGGAAUCACUGGGCUUAAAGGGCGCGUAGGCGGGCCCCCUUGUCCGGGGUGAAAGCUUUCGGCUUAACCGGAAAAGUGCCCCGGAAACGGGGGGCCUGGAGGGAGGUAGGGGCGGCCGGAACUUCCGGUGGAGCGGUGAAAUGCGUUGAUAUCGGAAGGAACGCCGGUGGCGAAAGCGGGCCGCUGGACCUCUACUGACGCUGAGGCGCGAAAGCCAGGGGAGCGAACGGGAUUAGAUACCCCGGUAGUCC